CAGCAGCCACGGUAAUACAGAGGGUGCGAGCGUUAAUCGGAUUUACUGGGCGUAAAGCGUGCGUAGGCGGCUUUUUAAGUCGGAUGUGAAAUCCCUGAGAUUAACUUAGGAAUUGCAUUCGAUACUGGGAAGCUAGAGUAUGGGAGAGGAUGGUAGAAUUCCAGGUGUAGCGGUGAAAUGCGUAGAGAUCUGGAGGAAUACCGAUGGCGAAGGCAGCCAUCUGGCCUAAUACUGACGCUGAGGUACGAAAGCAUGGGGAGCAAACAGGAUUAGAUACCCCCGUAGUCCCUGUCUCUUAUAC
RNAcentral lists this ribosomal RNA (301 nucleotides) under uncultured bacterium. Its description in RNAcentral is "partial 16S ribosomal RNA". It matches the Rfam family "Bacterial small subunit ribosomal RNA", at positions 509 to 807 of the family's 1533-position model. The record is from RNAcentral.